Argentina anserina (silverweed cinquefoil) is the source of this 100-nucleotide small nucleolar RNA. RefSeq annotates it as small nucleolar RNA Z266. The transcript has a single exon. The record is from RefSeq and is a predicted model, not a curated record. NCBI's taxonomy places the organism in Eukaryota, Viridiplantae, Streptophyta, Magnoliopsida, Rosales, Rosaceae.
GUUUGGCAAGAGUGAUGAUUCAAUUAGAUGUGUGAAAAAGGGUAAUCCUUUUUUUUUUGAACUCAAUUGUUUGAGGCAUAACAUGUCUGACUUGCCUGGU